UUUCGUGCCUUCGGAGCUCUGUGACAGGUGCUGCAUGGCUGUCGUCAGCUCGUGUUGUGAAAUGUUGGGUUAAGUCCCGUAACGAGCGCAACCCUUGUCCUUAGUUGCUAGCGGGUAAUGCCGAGAACUCUAAGGAGACUGCCGGUGACAAACCGGAGGAAGGUGGGGACGACGUCAAGUCAUCAUGGCCCUUACGUCUUGGGCUACACACGUGCUACAAUGGUUCGUACAAAGGGUUGCCAAGCCGCGAGGUGGAGCUAAUCUCAUAAAACGAAUCGUAGUCCGGAUUGGAGUCUGCAACUCGACUCCAUGAAGUCGGAAUCGCUAGUAAUCGUAGAU
RNAcentral lists this ribosomal RNA (339 nucleotides) under uncultured Gammaproteobacteria bacterium. Its description in RNAcentral is "bacterial SSU rRNA". It matches the Rfam family "Bacterial small subunit ribosomal RNA", at positions 1010 to 1349 of the family's 1533-position model. The record is from RNAcentral. Lineage: Bacteria; Pseudomonadati; Pseudomonadota; Gammaproteobacteria.